AAUAGAUACCCAGGUAGUCCACGCCGUAAACGAUGAGUGCGUAAGUGUUAGAGGGUUUCCGCCCUUUAGUGCUGCAGCUAACGCAUUAAGCACUCCGCCUGGGGAGUACGGCCGCAAGGCUGAAACUCAAAGGAAUUGACGGGGGCCCGCACAAGCGGUGGAGCAUGUGGUUUAAUUCGAAGCAACGCGAAGAACCUUACCAGGUCUUGACAUCCUCUGCCAACCCGUAGAGAUAGGGCGUUCCCCUUCGGGGGACAGAGUGACAGGUGGUGCAUGGUUGUCGUCAGCUCGUGUCGUGAGAUGUUGGGUUAAGUCCCGCAACGAGCGCAACCCUUGAUCUUAGUUGCCAGCAUUCAGUUGGGCACUCUAAGGUGACUGCCGGUGACAAACCGGAGGAAGGUGGGGAUGACGUCAAAUCAUCAUGCCCCUUAUGACCUGGGCUACACACGUGCUACAAUGGAUGGUACAAAGAGCUGCGAACCCGCGAGGGUAAGCGAAUCUCAUAAAGCCAUUCUCAGUUCGGAUUGU
This 528-nucleotide ribosomal RNA is filed under the name uncultured bacterium. RNAcentral's name for it is "bacterial SSU rRNA". It matches the Rfam family "Bacterial small subunit ribosomal RNA", at positions 777 to 1301 of the family's 1533-position model. The record is from RNAcentral.